UAGAUUGAAGCCCGCUGGAUUGGGUUUUUAGUUGUUAACUAAAGGUUUAUGGGAUCGAGGCCCGUCGAUCUAK
This 73-nucleotide transfer RNA is filed under the name Bavayia borealis. RNAcentral describes it as "tRNA-Asn". Lineage: Eukaryota; Metazoa; Chordata; Lepidosauria; Squamata; Diplodactylidae. The record is from RNAcentral.